UCCGCAGCGGAAGCAGGAAGUGUGCGACCAUGGAGAACUCACGCGUAUCGGUGCCCCUGUCUCUGCCCAAACACUCAUACUGGUUUGAUUUCUGGAUGUUUCUGCUGUUUGACGUCGUUCUCCUUUCGAUCAUUUACUUCGUCAUCCCGUGAGCGAAAGCUUCAGGAAUCCGGUUCACUAAAGAGAGAACGAGUCAGAAUCUCGGCUGAGACGGACGUGAAUGACAGCGUCCGCAUGUUCUGCUUCUUCAUCACAAUUCUUGCUUGACUCGCAUCACUUUAACGCUGACUGAAAUGAAACGUGCUCACAAAACGAAAAACAGGUGUUUUCCCAGAAUGCACAUUCCUGCCCUGAGAUGAGACCAACGUUCACGUGUCGGAGGGUUUUUAUGCACAUUGCAAACGAAAAAUAAUCAAGUGUGUUUGAUUAAAUUGAUUUGACAUGUG
This is a long non-coding RNA of Triplophysa dalaica, 446 nucleotides long. RefSeq lists it as uncharacterized. The record is from RefSeq and is a predicted model, not a curated record. NCBI's taxonomy places the organism in Eukaryota, Metazoa, Chordata, Actinopteri, Cypriniformes, Nemacheilidae. The transcript is spliced from 3 exons.